AAAUAUUUACAGCAGCAGAAGCUUCCAGAAUCUUCAUGUCUUCCUCUUACAGUCUCUCCACUAAACCUUUCUAGGGUUCAUAUUUGUUCCAAGAUUUCUGGUUGUUGGUUUUCACUCUUCUAUCCCUGCUCCAUUCUCGAGGAUUCCUCUCAGAUGGGCCCGUAGAAAAGAUAGUUAUCUGUAAAUAUUACUGCUGAGGAAAUCCUUUCUUCAGGAAGCUUAACCAAGAGGAUGAUGAUGUAGAAAGAGCAGAUAUCAUUCCAUUCUGACUCUUCCAUGUUUGAAGGCAUAGAAGAUUACUCCCACCAAAUUGGAGGGAUGAUUGGGCUAAUAAAUGCAUCCAAUCUAAUAUCAUACAGGAGAACUCUGGCUCAGGUCCAUCUCUAUACAGUAAAGGUCAUUAUGUCAAAUCUCAAUAUUAUCAACCUCUUGACUGCAAUCAUUGGAACAAAAAGCUCUAGGUGGGUACUUGUGGAAGAGAGGACAUGGCCUUCUAGAGCUAACUUAAACAAGAGUGAACUUGAAGUAUAUGAUCACUGAGUUCCAAUGAUGACGAUCCUUUGCCCUCAUAUAACAUGUUACAUGUCACAAUUGCACUAUUGCGGCAGUAAAACGACGAUGGUGCGAUAUUUGUUCUAACCCAGUGAACAUGUCGGCUAUGUGAACACUUCGCAGACAAUAAUGGUAUAUGCUCGAGUCUCAGAUCACGUUUGGGGCAUUUGAUAGCAUAUAACUUAAGUAGGCAACAAUAAUGGCUUUGAUAGCAGCAUAUAACCUAGGUAGGAAGAUUUGACAACUAGUCACAUCCUCGCAUUUUACAUUUUGGGGCAUUUUAGUCUAAGUGGGUGUAGACAUGAUUUUGUGACUGAUCAUACACCCCCUACACCCCUUUACUGAAACAACAAGAAUAAAAAUAAUAGGAGCCUACCUAACAUGAAAAUAAGUAAAAACGAUUUAGAACGAGCAUGCAGCCUUGGACAACACGUCUUGGAAAAAGCAUGAUCAAGGCAUCUGACACGUAGUCAUAGGCAACACGUUUUGGACAAGCAUAAUGUUACAUAUAAUAUGGUGCAUGCUGAUGGUAUCUUGUCCCCCUUGAAGCUCCUCAACAUCGUUGCUCCAUGCUUUAUAUGUUAACUGAGAUUGAUCGGUUACUCGUCUUGAGGUAAUCAAAUAAAAGUUUAUUUCUGGUUAGUUUUAGUCAUUGAAUAUAUAUAAUCGUAAGUGAUCCAAUCUUGUAAUGAUGAAGGUAGAUGAGAUUCCAUGAAAAAGUUGAUAAAGCUUAACCAAA
Long non-coding RNA from Cucurbita maxima (winter squash), 1291 nucleotides. RefSeq lists it as uncharacterized. Lineage: Eukaryota; Viridiplantae; Streptophyta; Magnoliopsida; Cucurbitales; Cucurbitaceae. The transcript is spliced from 5 exons. The record is from RefSeq and is a predicted model, not a curated record.